Long non-coding RNA from Trachemys scripta elegans, 560 nucleotides. RefSeq lists it as uncharacterized. The transcript has 3 exons. NCBI's taxonomy places the organism in Eukaryota, Metazoa, Chordata, Testudines, Emydidae. The record is from RefSeq and is a predicted model, not a curated record.
UUGAAGCAAACAUCAUUUGAAACUUCUUUUUCUAGUUCUACUGACUGGUGGGAGUGAGGCGUGUGAAGGGGAGAAGACAGUAAUUCAAUUCACCUCCAGAUCAGUGGAAUUUAAAACGCCUUCAGCAAACAACUAGACCAGAAAGAAUUCAGUUACAACAUUAUUCACUGCCACCACCAGCUGGGGUCCUUCAACUUGACAUCCUGACACCCCUUCAGGACUUGCAUGGGAGAUAAAGAUAAGCCGGUUCACUCAGUCUUGCAGGUGCAAAUGUUUCAACGCGGCCCCUAACUACUCCAUCCCAAAGGCCAGAUUAGAAGGCGGAAAAAACAAACUCGGGAUGACAUGUUUGCCAAGCUCAUGCAGUCCUCCCGCACUGAUAGGGCCCAGCUGAAUGCAUGGAGGCAAACAACUGCGGAGUCCCAUAAAGCAUUACAUGAACACAAAGAGAGGAGGGAUGUGCGUGAUGAGAGCAGGUAGCACCCUAUGGUCAAGCUCAUGGGGGAGCAAACUGACAUGCUGCGCUGUAUGGUGGAUCUAAUGCAGGAAAGGCAGCAAGA